RNAcentral lists this ribosomal RNA (253 nucleotides) under uncultured bacterium. Its description in RNAcentral is "partial 16S ribosomal RNA". It matches the Rfam family "Bacterial small subunit ribosomal RNA", at positions 524 to 776 of the family's 1533-position model. The record is from RNAcentral.
UACGGGGGGGGCAAGCGUUGUUCGGAAUUACUGGGCGUAAAGGGCUCGUAGGCGGCCAACUAAGUCCGACGUGAAAUCCCAAGGCUUAACCUUGGAACUGCGUCGGAUACUGGAUGGCUUGAAUUCGGGAGAGGGAUGCAGAAUUCCAGGUGUAGCGGUGAAAUGCGUAGAUAUCUGGAGGAAUACCGGUGGCGAAGGCGGCAUCCUGGACCGACAUUGACGCUGAUGAGCGAAAGCUAGGGGAGCAAACAGG